RNAcentral lists this ribosomal RNA (156 nucleotides) under Triticum aestivum (bread wheat). Its description in RNAcentral is "partial small subunit ribosomal RNA". The record is from RNAcentral. Lineage: Eukaryota; Viridiplantae; Streptophyta; Magnoliopsida; Poales; Poaceae.
AUGUAUGUGGAGGAAGAUCUGUAUUGGCAUCAAUUCUCUAAUGAGAGAUGGCUCCUGAAAGGAGAUAACAAUACAGUCUUUUUUCACAAAGUAGCUAAUGGACGUCGUAGGAAACACUCCAUGAUCUCACUUGAAUGUGGAUCGAUCAUUAUAUAA